UUAAUAGGGUCGAUUUCAUGGGAAAUAACUUCACGUACAACAGCUCUGACUUUGAACAAAGGGAUGUGUACAACUCCAUCAGGGCCUAUUUGGACACAGGAUCUGGAGCCAGAUGCUACAAUGCCAGUGAUGCAGAGCUCAGCUCUACUGAUUGGUUUGCAAGUAAUCUGGGAAACUUUGUGUCAUUUCUGACUGUGGAUGAUCUGACAGCAUUUGUGUCCAGCAGUCAGAUGCAAGUGUUUGUAACUAAUGAAGCCAACCUUGAGCUCUUCAGCACUGCUUCAGUCUCAGAGGAAAUCAGAGACUACUAUUUAACACAGCUUUUUGUUUUCAACCCCAGCUUUGACUUACUCAGACUUCCAGGUCCUCUCCUGUGUAGUUCUGCCAUUCCCAGUUCAGCAUUUACGGCUGUUCCUGGAGAUAAAGUCAUUGAGGUUUUGAACAGACUAAACGACCUUCUGUAAUGGAACUCAAGAUCCUGAG
RNAcentral lists this long non-coding RNA (483 nucleotides) under Gouania willdenowi (blunt-snouted clingfish). RNAcentral's name for it is "lncRNA (ENSGWIG00000005585.1)". The record is from RNAcentral. Lineage: Eukaryota; Metazoa; Chordata; Actinopteri; Blenniiformes; Gobiesocidae.